This is a long non-coding RNA of Coregonus clupeaformis (lake whitefish), 2007 nucleotides long. RefSeq lists it as uncharacterized. The record is from RefSeq and is a predicted model, not a curated record. The transcript is spliced from 6 exons. Lineage: Eukaryota; Metazoa; Chordata; Actinopteri; Salmoniformes; Salmonidae.
GCUAAUUAGCCGCUAAUGUGGCUAUCAUACAGAACAACACAUCCUUUUGCAAACUUCACUUAAUGCAGUGUUGCAGGGUGGGGAAAAACCUCAAUUUGUCCACGGAAACUCUCAGCAGCAAGUAAGGAACCUAGCAAGUAAAGUCAAAGAGAAUAACUAGUAGAUAUUAUUGCCUUUUUGUAGUUUCUUGUUUAAAUAAUUGAUAUUGUGUAUUUCUUGUGUGUAUUGUUGUUUAGCAUCUUUCAAAUUACCUACCUUUUAGCACUUUUUAAUUACUAGAAUUGUUUUAAUUACCCUGGCCUUUGUAGCUAACUAGCUAACCUUAGGUCUCUCCGUUGAGCAGAAGCAAGGAUUGUUCUGUGCUAUGUACCGGAUUGUAACCACUACUCCGAUAAGCACACGUGCAUUUGAUCGUUUUCCAACCACUGUAAGCGAGAGGCGUCGCUGGAGCCGUGUCAUAAGUCCAACAGGAGUGCAUCCAUCAGGCCAUCUGGUGCAUGGACAUCCUGUGCCAGUGGGAUCCGAGCACAAUCGUCCAGUUGCGGAGACUACAGCACAUCGAGCCUGUGGACGGACAGACAUGCGGAACAUCAGGAUCACCACACGAGAAGCAGUGCAUGAUCAACGCCACCCUCAGGAAGGAGAUCUGCUGGAAGUGUCUCUCUCGAUCUCUCAUUAAGCAGUCCAGAUGAUUUCCGUAGGGUGUGUCCUAUCCAACUCUACUUACUUCUUCUUUGGUGUUCAAUGGAAACAUUGAAGUUCCAGGCACUAGGGAUGAUGCCGGGAUAGCAGGUACAAGCAGGGAUGACUGGGGCGCCAACUUUGGGAGCAUGUGGUCCUUGAAAAACUCCUCUAGUCCAGCAAUAUGAGUCUGCCAGAGGUCGUCACGCUGGAUGGGAAUGGUGAUGGAGGCUUUGGUGGUCCACACAACGAAGAAGUGUCCCUUCCAGUGAUGUGGAGCUGCCCUUGGACCUGGUGCCAGUAAUGAUGAUCUUCAUGGAGGCGGGACACUUGACCUCCACCACUGCUGUGGUGCCCACCAGACCAUCCGGUGAGGCACCCAGGAUUCCAGACCCCGUGACCCAAAGCCCUCUCCUGCACAUCCAUCCCUGUAGCCAUUUUGAAUGCCCUCCUCUUCAUUAUCUGUGCCCCACUUUACAGACAACACCCCAUCCAACGACUGUGAUCUGAGGACCCUUUUUAGCAGCAACAGAGUAACGCGCUUGGCCCUAACCACUGCUCCAACAUUGCUGGCCGUCAACCUCCCUCUCCUCAUGGUGUGCCAGUUUGGGUUGGUGCACUGUCUAACUGUUGCCUGCCGUAUAGCCUCCUGCUGCUCCAACGACAGCGCCAUGCCAGCCAGGAUGCCUGCAUUCCCCAGGUGCCCUUUAUUUUAACACUGUCAGACAGAAAAGCAGUUGUUCUGGCUCAGGUUCAAGGAGACAUGCCAUUCCACUGAACCUGCUCCGAAGAUGGUUCCUUAACCACUGAAGAUCCUUCUCUGUGGGCUCUAAGGACAGAGGCUUGUAGUCUUCGGCUGGGUACAGGUCCUCCACUGACUACACCUGGUUGGGCACGGCUGGCUUCCUCCACUCGCAUUAUACAUCAGUACAGCCAAUAUUGUGAACCACAAAAAUAGCGAACAGCUGCAUGGCUACACUUAUGAGCUCCACGGGGGCAUUCAAAUGUGGUAGAAAAAAUCCCCUGGUCACCUAUAGAGACCUGCCAAGAGGAAGGAUGUUAAGAGCCACAUGCCUUUCAAUGCAUGACUAUGAGCACCUUGAAAUGCAUUUGUUGUAAGAAAUGUGCUAUAUAUGUAAAGUUUGAUUUGAUUGAUGACAUUACAGCUGUAGAAUAUUUAAUAAACUGUAAUUUUCACAUGAAGACAAGUGCAGUUUUUAAUUGAUAACUUGGAAUUGUAUCACUUGACAUAUCAUUCAUACAGUGGGAAGGAUCCUAUAAAUCAAGACUGUGUGAAUGCAUGUACCACACCGAAUAAAUAAAUAU